RNAcentral lists this ribosomal RNA (433 nucleotides) under uncultured bacterium. Its description in RNAcentral is "partial 16S ribosomal RNA". It matches the Rfam family "Bacterial small subunit ribosomal RNA", at positions 28 to 507 of the family's 1533-position model. The record is from RNAcentral.
GACGAACGCUGGCGGCAGGCCUAACACAUGCAAGUCGAGCGCGCCCUUCGGGGUGAGCGGCGGACGGGUGAGUAACGCGUGGGAACGUGCCCUUUUCUACGGAAUAGCCUCGGGAAACUGAGAGUAAUACCGUAUACGCCCUUUGGGGGAAAGAUUUAUCGGAAAAGGAUCGGCCCGCGUUGGAUUAGGUAGUUGGUGGGGUAAUGGCCUACCAAGACGACGAUCCAUAGCUGGUUUGAGAGGAUGAUCAGCCACACUGGGACUGAGACACGGCCCAGACUCCUACGGGAGGCAGCAGUGGGGGAUCUUAGACAAUGGGGGCAACGCUGAUAUAGCCAUGCCGCGUGAGUGAUGAAGGCCUUAGGGUUGUAAAGCUCUUUCAGCUGGGAAGAUAAUGACGGUACCAGCAGAAGAAGCCCCGGCUAACUCCGUG